Molecule: ribosomal RNA, 251 nt
Filed under: uncultured prokaryote
Description: partial 16S rRNA
Rfam family: Bacterial small subunit ribosomal RNA
Source: RNAcentral
ACGUAGGGUGCGAGCGUUAAUCGGAAUUACUGGGCGUAAAGCGUGCGCAGGCGGUUUUGUAAGACAGGCGUGAAAUCCCCGGGCUCAACCUGGGAACUGCGUUUGAGACUGCAAGGCUAGAGUACGGCAGAGGGGGGUGGAAUUCCACGUGUAGCAGUGAAAUGCGUAGAGAUGUGGAGGAACACCGAUGGCGAAGGCAGCUCCCUGGAUCGAUACUGACGCUCAUGCACGAAAGCGUGGGUAGCAAACAG